CCAAUCGAUAGUGUGAAAUGGUUAGCAUUAACUCCUAUAAAGGGUGAAAUGCGGGUUCAAAUCCCGUUCGGCGUCUGGA
Molecule: non-coding RNA, 79 nt
Organism: Parelaphostrongylus tenuis
Lineage: Eukaryota; Metazoa; Nematoda; Chromadorea; Rhabditida; Metastrongylidae
Source: the annotation of a GenBank genome assembly